This 678-nucleotide ribosomal RNA is filed under the name Serratia liquefaciens. RNAcentral describes it as "bacterial SSU rRNA". It matches the Rfam family "Bacterial small subunit ribosomal RNA", at positions 1 to 673 of the family's 1533-position model. The record is from RNAcentral. Lineage: Bacteria; Pseudomonadati; Pseudomonadota; Gammaproteobacteria; Enterobacterales; Yersiniaceae.
GAAGAGUUUGAUCAUGGCUCAGAUUGAACGCUGGCGGCAGGCCUAACACAUGCAAGUCGAGCGGUAGCACAGGAGAGCUUGCUCUCUGGGUGACGAGCGGCGGACGGGUGAGUAAUGUCUGGGAAACUGCCUGAUGGAGGGGGAUAACUACUGGAAACGGUAGCUAAUACCGCAUAACGUCUACGGACCAAAGUGGGGGACCUUCGGGCCUCAUGCCAUCAGAUGUGCCCAGAUGGGAUUAGCUAGUAGGUGGGGUAAUGGCUCACCUAGGCGACGAUCCCUAGCUGGUCUGAGAGGAUGACCAGCCACACUGGAACUGAGACACGGUCCAGACUCCUACGGGAGGCAGCAGUGGGGAAUAUUGCACAAUGGGCGCAAGCCUGAUGCAGCCAUGCCGCGUGUGUGAAGAAGGCCUUCGGGUUGUAAAGCACUUUCAGCGAGGAGGAAGGGUUCAGUGUUAAUAGCACUGUGCAUUGACGUUACUCGCAGAAGAAGCACCGGCUAACUCCGUGCCAGCAGCCGCGGUAAUACGGAGGGUGCAAGCGUUAAUCGGAAUUACUGGGCGUAAAGCGCACGCAGGCGGUUUGUUAAGUCAGAUGUGAAAUCCCCGCGCUUAACGUGGGAACUGCAUUUGAAACUGGCAAGCUAGAGUCUUGUAGAGGGGGGUAGAAUUCCAGG